This 446-nucleotide ribosomal RNA is filed under the name uncultured Anaerolineaceae bacterium. RNAcentral describes it as "bacterial SSU rRNA". It matches the Rfam family "Bacterial small subunit ribosomal RNA", at positions 923 to 1382 of the family's 1533-position model. Lineage: Bacteria; Bacillati; Chloroflexota; Anaerolineae; Anaerolineales; Anaerolineaceae. The record is from RNAcentral.
GCACAAGCAGCGGAGCGUGUGGUUUAAUUCGUUGCUACACGAAGAACCUUACCUGGGUUUGACAUAUAGGUUGUAGGGAACUGAAAAGGGACCGACCCUUCGGGGAGCCUAUACAGGUGUUGCAUGGCUGUCGUCAGCUCGUGUCGUGAGAUGUUCGGUUAAGUCCGCUAACGAGCGCAACCCUCGUCGUAUGUUAUAUGUGUCAUACGAGACUGCCGGUAAAAAGCCGGAGGAAGGUGAGGAUGAUGUCAAGUCAGCAUGACCUUUAUAUCCAGGGCUACACACACGCUACAAUGGUCUGUACAAUGGGUAGCCAAGCCGCGAGGCGGAGCCAAUCCUGAAAGCAGGCCUCAGUUCAGAUUGCAGUCUGCAACUCGACUGCAUGAAGCCGGAGUUGCUAGUAACCGCAGGUCAGCAAUACUGCGGUGAAUACGUUCCCGGGUCUU